UAACCUGCCCUAUACACAUGGAUAACAUACUGAAAAGUUUACUAAUACAUGAUAAUAUAUAUUUGCGGCAUCGCAGAUAUAUCAAAGUGUUAGCGGUAUAGGAUGGACCCGCGUCUGAUUAGCUAGUUGGUGAGAUAACUGCCCACCAAGGCGACGAUCAGUAGCCGACCUGAGAGGGUGAUCGGCCACAUUGGAACUGAGACACGGUCCAA
RNAcentral lists this ribosomal RNA (212 nucleotides) under uncultured bacterium. RNAcentral's name for it is "partial 16S ribosomal RNA". It matches the Rfam family "Bacterial small subunit ribosomal RNA", at positions 122 to 334 of the family's 1533-position model. The record is from RNAcentral.